UACGUAGGGUGCGAGCGGUGUCCGGAAUUAUUGGGCGUAAAGAGCUUGUAGGCGGUUUGUCGCGUCUGCCGUGAAAAUCCGGGGCUCAACCCCGGACUUGCGGUGGGUACGGGCAGACUAGAGUGUGGUAGGGGAGACUGGAAUUCCUGGUGUAGCGGUGAAAUGCGCAGAUAUCAGGAGGAACACCGGUGGCGAAGGCGGGUCUCUGGGCCGAUACUGACGCUGAGGAGCGAAAGCGUGGGGAGAGAACAGG
This 253-nucleotide ribosomal RNA is filed under the name uncultured bacterium. RNAcentral describes it as "partial 16S ribosomal RNA". It matches the Rfam family "Bacterial small subunit ribosomal RNA", at positions 524 to 776 of the family's 1533-position model. The record is from RNAcentral.